UUUUAUUAUGAUCCAUACAUGAUUUGUAAUUUUGUUUGCUUCUAGGCUUCAUUUUCAUUAACUGCACUUCCAAUGGGACACAAAUAGCUAAAUGGGUGUAUAAAGAAAAUAACACUCUGUGUGUUGAACCAACAACAGUCCCUCCAACAACUAAAUAUACUAUUGUGGGUCCUUCCUCCUGGCUCACUUUGGGAUUGCGUACUAUUGCUGUGGUUCUUCCUUUAAUUGGCCUUUGUCUCUACUUCACUUGGAAGCAAAAGAAAUAUGAAAAAGCCAAACUCUCUGCCAUCCCACCCACAGUGGAGAAUCCAGAGGACUCUAUUCUGAUGGUUCAACUGAACUCUGCAUCUUAGAUGGAUGACAUUAUGACUUUAAUUUGUAAAAAUUCAACAUAAGCUCACAAACAUAAACAUGUAAGUAGUUCUGGGAUUGGCUGCCAUGUUUCAUGAGCAUUUUAUCGUGCAACAUUCCAAAGUGUCUUAUUUCAAUUAUGUUAAAGUGAAGGUUUUAGUUUAAUUUCUUUCUUGUGUUAUAUAUUGUCAACAUUCUGUCUCAUGUUUUUUAUGUAUUUUCCAAUUUAUUGUGCUUUCAAUGGAUUAGCAUUCAUCUAUUACUGAGUUGUACCAUGAGCUUCUUAUGACAUACAAUGGUGUGAAUAAGUGUUUGCCCCCUCCACGAUUUCCUGUUUUUUGUAUGUAUCUCACACUAAACUUAUACUAACUUACUUCUAAGGACGUCUUACAUGUGUUGGAACCACUGAAGUAAACAGUCGUAGUCAUACAAAACCAGCAGAGGAAAAUAUAAACUUCACAGAAAAGGCUCCAGCUAAAAUGUAAUAAAGGAACCUUGCAGCCUCAGAGAAAAUGGUUAACCACACCAACACACAGGACAGCAGUUGAAACAUAAUUUUCUGCAUUUGAAAGGAUCUUGCAGGUUUUUUGAAGCAAUUUAUAAAGUGCAAACACUGGGCUCUGUGUAAUAGGCUUUGUACAGCUCUAGAUAUUUGACAAAGAUACGUUAUUAACAUCUGAAAGCAGCUGAGUGAAUGAACAGAAGCUGAACGUGAAGCAAACAUGGAAGUUGUUUUUGUUUUUCUUGAUGCAACUUGGACUGUUUUAAAUGUGUGUACAAUAAAUAAACUACAUGUUACAGGAA
This is a long non-coding RNA of Xiphophorus hellerii (green swordtail), 1155 nucleotides long. RefSeq lists it as uncharacterized. The transcript is spliced from 2 exons. The record is from RefSeq and is a predicted model, not a curated record. Lineage: Eukaryota; Metazoa; Chordata; Actinopteri; Cyprinodontiformes; Poeciliidae.